RNAcentral lists this ribosomal RNA (429 nucleotides) under Bacteroidota bacterium. RNAcentral describes it as "Bacteroidetes bacterium partial 16S ribosomal RNA". It matches the Rfam family "Bacterial small subunit ribosomal RNA", at positions 355 to 776 of the family's 1533-position model. The record is from RNAcentral. Lineage: Bacteria; Pseudomonadati; Bacteroidota.
UAGGGAAUCUUCCUCAAUGGACGCAAGUCUGACGGAGCAACGCCGCGUGAGUGAAGAAGGAUUUCGGUUCGUAAAACUCUGUUGUUAGAGAAGAACAGCGCAUAGAGUAACUGUUAUGCGUGUGACGGUAUCUAACCAGAAAGCCACGGCUAACUACGUGCCAGCAGCCGCGGUAAUACGUAGGUGGCAAGCGUUGUCCGGAUUUAUUGGGCGUAAAGCGAGCGCAGGCGGUCAAUUAAGUCUGAUGUGAAAGCCCCCGGCUCAACCGGGGAGGGUCAUUGGAAACUGGUUGACUUGAGUGCAGAAGAGGAGGGUGGAAUUCCAUGUGUAGCGGUGAAAUGCGUAGAUAUAUGGAGGAACACCAGUGGCGAAGGCGACUCUCUGGUCUGUAACUGACGCUGAGGCUCGAAAGCGUGGGUAGCAAACAGG